UUAGGUUGGUGAAAAGUAAUUGUGGUUUUUGCCAUUGAAAGUAAUGGCAAAACCACAAUUACUUUUGCACCAACCU
This is a microRNA precursor of Rhinopithecus bieti (black snub-nosed monkey), 76 nucleotides long. The record is from Ensembl. NCBI's taxonomy places the organism in Eukaryota, Metazoa, Chordata, Mammalia, Primates, Cercopithecidae.